RNAcentral lists this long non-coding RNA (1748 nucleotides) under Homo sapiens (human). RNAcentral describes it as "HSALNT0398655". The record is from RNAcentral. Lineage: Eukaryota; Metazoa; Chordata; Mammalia; Primates; Hominidae.
UGUUGAAACCCCCUUCUCUACAAAAAAUACAUAAAUUAGCUAGGCAUGGUGGCACAUGCCUGCUGGUUCAGCUUCUGUGGAGACUGCAGUGGGAGGAUGGCUUGAGCCUGGGAGUUAGAGGCUGUAGGGAGCCGUGAUCAUGCCACUGUACUCCAGCAUGGGUGACAGAGACAGACAGUGUCUCAAAAAAUGAAUAUGGUGAAAUUUGGGUAGAGGAACAAUGAAAUCAUUAAUGCUUUAUGAAAAGGUUAUGGGGGCGAUGCCCCAAAGAAAUCACUGUUUUGUAAAUGCAUAAGUCAUUUUAAGUUGGGACAAGACAAUGUUGACUAAAAUGUAGGAAUUAGCUUGGUGUGGCGAGUGCCUGUAACACAGCUACUCGGGAGGCUGGUAGAAGAAUGGCUUUCAUUUUGGAAGCAGAGGUUGCAGUGAGCCGAGAUCGCACAACUGCAGUCCAGCUGGGCCACAGCAAGACUCUGUCUCAAAUAAAAUAAAAAAAAUAAAAUAAAUAAAAUACUGCUUCUCAAAAAAGCUUUGAUAUAAUCUUAUGAGGUAACAUCAUUGUUUUGCAACUAUAAUAUGUGUUCAAAAUAUUCUUCUAUGACCCCACAUUUCAUUAGAUAUAUUUUUUAACCAUUUUAAAACUGUUUUUCUCUGAAAUUUAUUGUGUUCAGUUUACAUUGAGGACGGCAUGCUUUCUAGUCUGUAUCAUACAUUGGAAACAUUUUCUGGUACCUGAUAAAUGAUUUUAGUUUGUUUCAAUGUGUACUUGAUAAAGAUAUCAAGGAACUUUUUCUUUAUGCUAACAUCAAAAUUUAGUUGAAGUAGCCUAUUAUUCCAUUUUCUUUCUUUAUGUCACCUGAUAAAAUGGUGAGCUGUGAGCUGCUAAGUAAACGUUCCCCUCAAGUUCCUCUGGUCCAUAAUAUUUUUUGCAGAUGUUCAAGGAUGGGCAGAAUUGACUUGGAACCUUGUUCCAGCAAAGCCCGUGUGUUCAAGAAGAAAACAUUUGUUCAGAUCUCAUUUGUAAUGCUGCUUCUCUUUCAGUGUUUUAAACACCUAUAGCUAGGGGUUCACAGUUGUGUGUAUUUUGAAUGUACUACUGUCAUUUUUCUGGGAAAAUAAUUACAUGUUUAGGAUUCAUGCCAUCAGGACCUUAGACAUUGAAAGAGACAUUUCAUUUGCUCAGGUGUAUAAAAUUGUCCUGGAAUGUUUUUUUUUCUUUCUUUUUUUGAGACAGGGUGUCACUCGGUCACCCAUACUUGCAUGCAGUGACACGAUCUUGGCUUAACGCAACCUCUGCCUCCCAGGCCCAAAUAUCCACCCCAGUCAGUUCUUAAAUGGCUGAGACCACAGAUGCACACCACCACGCCUGGCUAAUUUUUUGUACUUUUGGUGAAGUAUCUCCUGCUCGAAACAACAGUGACUCAACCAGUAAUGUACAGGCCUCUCCACUGAGCUCUACAAUCCUGUGUGCAGUUGUCUGCUCACCUCUCUGCUGGGACAUCAAACAGGCAUCUCCACCUUCACAUGUCCAAAAGUGACUUCCUAAACCCCCAAACACAUUCCCUUGCAGUCUGCACAUCUCAGAUGAGGGUGACUGUGUACGUCCGGAAACUUAGCCGAACUUGACAGCAUGUAUUUUAAAUAUGGGAAAUAAAUUACUUUAUUUGUAAGUGUUGUAAUUUGUAAUGUAAAGAGAAAUUUGCAUGUAUACAUGAAAGGACUGAGAAGAUACAUCACUUCUGAAAUUC